GAGUAACACUUUAGUACCUGCCCCAAACUCAGGAAUAACUACGAGAAAUCGUAGCUAAUACCGGAUAGUCCCGCAAGGGUAAAGCUUCGGCGGUUUGGGAGGGGCUUGAGGCUUAUCAGCUAGUUGGUGAGGUAAUGGCUCACCAAGGCUAUGACGAGUAGCUGGUCUGAGAGGAUGAUCAGCCACAAUGGGACUGAGAUACGGCCCAUACUCCUACGGGAGGCAGCAGUAAAGAAUCUUCCACAAUGGACGAAAGUCUGAUGGAGCAACACCGCGUGCAGGAUGAAGGUCUUCGGAUUGUAAACUGCUUUUCUGAGGGAAGAAUUAUGACGGUACCUUAGGAAUAAGCACCGGCUAACUCCGUGCCAGCAGCCGCGGUAAUACGGAGGGUGCAAACGUUACCCGGAAUUAUUGGGCGUAAAGGGUCCGUAGGCUGUUUAAUAAGUCAGAUAUUAAAUCUUGGGGCUCAACUCCAAGCUCGUAUCUGAAACUAUUAGACUAGAGGAUUGCAGAGGUAAGUAGAAUUCUGUGUGGAGGGGUUAAAUCCGUAGAUAUACAGAGGAAUACCAAAAGCGAAGGCAACUUACUGGGCAAUUCCUGACGCUGAGGGACGAAAGCGUGGGUAGCGAACGGGAUUAGAUACCCCGGUAGUCCACGCCGUAAACGAUGGAUACUAGAUGUUGGCAUUUCAAUUAUGUCAGUGUCGUAGCUAACGCGUUAAGUAUCCCGCCUGUGGAGUACGAUCGCAAGAUUAAAACAUAAAGGAAUAGACGGGGGCCUACACAAGCGGUGGAGCAUCCGGUUUAAUUCGAUAAUAAGCGGGGAACCUUACCUGGCCUUGACAUCCCGAGAAUCUUUUAGAAAUAAGAGAGUGCCUUUUGGAACUCGGUGACAGGUGCUGCAUGGUCGUCGUCAGCUCGUGCCUUGAGGUGUUCGGUUAAGUCCGGAAACGAGCGAAACCCUUAUCCUAUGUUGUAAUUUCAUGGGAGACUGCCUCGGUCAACGAGGAGGAAGGUAAGGAUGAUGUCAGAUCAGCAUGGCCCUUAUGGCCAGGGCUACACGGGUGCUACAAUGGCGUAUACAGAGGGUCGCAAUACAGCGAUGUGGAGCUAAUCCCUAAAGUACGUCUAAGUUCGGAUUGAAGGCUGCAACUCGCCUUCAUGAUGUUGGAAUCGCUAGUAACCGUAUAUCAGCAAUGGUACGGUGAAUAUGUUCCUAGGCCUUGUACUCACC
This 1233-nucleotide ribosomal RNA is filed under the name uncultured bacterium. RNAcentral's name for it is "bacterial SSU rRNA". It matches the Rfam family "Bacterial small subunit ribosomal RNA", at positions 108 to 1391 of the family's 1533-position model. The record is from RNAcentral.